AAUAAACACAGGGGGAGCCAUAAUUGGCUGAGAGUGAAUGUAAAUUCAGACCCUUUGAACCUGUUCGUUAGUACGAGCGUAGGGAUUGGUGUAAAAACUUAGUG
This 104-nucleotide non-coding RNA is filed under the name Ligilactobacillus ceti. Its description in RNAcentral is "Lactobacillus ceti TPP sequence". It matches the Rfam family "TPP riboswitch aptamer (THI element)". From Rfam's summary of the family: Vitamin B(1) in its active form thiamin pyrophosphate (TPP) is an essential coenzyme that is synthesised by coupling of pyrimidine and thiazole moieties in bacteria. The record is from RNAcentral. Lineage: Bacteria; Bacillati; Bacillota; Bacilli; Lactobacillales; Lactobacillaceae. RNAcentral also lists the same sequence under 1 other name.